This 212-nucleotide unclassified non-coding RNA is filed under the name Hevea brasiliensis (rubber tree). The record is from RNAcentral. Lineage: Eukaryota; Viridiplantae; Streptophyta; Magnoliopsida; Malpighiales; Euphorbiaceae.
AUUUUAUCAUCAAAACUAUUAAAUAAAAAACAAGAGAGAUUACUCCCUCCUCUCCUCCCUCUCUGGUUGUGAGCCUAGAAGGUGGGACUCCCAUAAUGAUCAAGGUACACCCUAACGUCAGCGCCAUCCCUUCCGAGAAGACGACGCUUAAGUCCUCUUCUAAUUUAGAGGCAGCUGAUGCUGUUGUAUUAACUGUGUGGAAGAAGUCUUUG